GGGUGCGAUUAUACCAGCACUAAUGCACCGGAUCCCAUCAGAACUGCACAAUUAAGCGUGGUUGGGCGAGGGUAGUACAAGAAUGGGUGACCUCCUGGGAAGUCCUCGUGUUGCACCCC
Gossypium arboreum is the source of this 119-nucleotide ribosomal RNA. The record is from Rfam. Lineage: Eukaryota; Viridiplantae; Streptophyta; Magnoliopsida; Malvales; Malvaceae.